UAGGGAAUCUUCGGCAAUGGGGGGAACCCUGACCGAGCAACGCCGCGUGAGUGAAGAAGGUUUUCGGAUCGUAAAGCUCUGUUGUUAAGGAAGAACGAGUGUGAGAAUGGAAAGUUCAUGCUGUGACGGUACUUAACCAGAAAGGGACGGCUAACUACGUGCCAGCAGCCGCGGUAAUACGUAGGUCCCGAGCGUUGUCCGGAUUUAUUGGGCGUAAAGCGAGCGCAGGCGGUUAGAAAAGUCUGAAGUGAAAGGCAGUGGCUCAACCAUUGUAGGCUUUGGAAACUGUUUAACUUGAGUGCAGAAGGGGAGAGUGGAAUUCCAUGUGUAGCGGUUAAAUGCGUAGAUAUAUGGGGGAACACCGGUGGCGAAAGCGGCUCUCUGGUCUGUAACUGACGCUGAGGCUCGAAAGCGUGGGGAGCGAACAGG
RNAcentral lists this ribosomal RNA (429 nucleotides) under Bacteroidota bacterium. RNAcentral's name for it is "Bacteroidetes bacterium partial 16S ribosomal RNA". It matches the Rfam family "Bacterial small subunit ribosomal RNA", at positions 355 to 776 of the family's 1533-position model. Lineage: Bacteria; Pseudomonadati; Bacteroidota. The record is from RNAcentral.